AGUGAACGCUGGCGGUAGGCCUAACACAUGCAAGUCGAACGGCAGCACAGUAAGAGCUUGCUCUUACGGGUGGCGAGUGGCGGACGGGUGAGGAAUACAUCGGAAUCUACUUUUUCGUGGGGGAUAACGUAGGGAAACUUACGCUAAUACCGCAUACGACCUACGGGUGAAAGCAGGGGAUCUUCGGACCUUGCGCGAUUGAAUGAGCCGAUGUCGGAUUAGCUAGUUGGCGGGGUAAAGGCCCACCAAGGCGACGAUCCGUAGCUGAUCUGAGAGGAUGAUCGGCCACACUGGAACUGAGACACGGUCCAGACUCCUACGGGAGGCAGCAGGGGGGAAUCUUGAACAAGGGGCGAAAGCUUGACCGAGCAAUUCGGCGUGAGUGAAGAAGGCCUUCGGAUUGUAAAACCCUUUUAUGGGGAAAGAAAAAAAGUGGAUGAAACCCCGCCUGUCUUGACGGUACCCAAUGAGAAAGCCACGGCUAACUUCGUG
Molecule: ribosomal RNA, 492 nt
Filed under: uncultured bacterium
Lineage: Bacteria
Description: partial 16S ribosomal RNA
Rfam family: Bacterial small subunit ribosomal RNA
Source: RNAcentral